This 371-nucleotide unclassified non-coding RNA is filed under the name Hevea brasiliensis (rubber tree). Lineage: Eukaryota; Viridiplantae; Streptophyta; Magnoliopsida; Malpighiales; Euphorbiaceae. The record is from RNAcentral.
UGAGUUUCCAACAGCUUCUUCUCAAAGCCGGCGGUUGUUUUUGGCUUGUGCGUCGGAAAAUUCUGAUGAAUUAAUCGAACAACUCGUUUCCGAUCUCGAGUCUAGUUCAAUCGAUGAGCAAAAACAAGCGGCGAUUGAAAUUAGACUCCUAGCGAAGAAUAAACCGGAAAAUCGUAUUAAAAUAGCUCGAGCUGGAGCAAUUAAACCGUUGAUUUCGCUAAUCUCCUCCACCGAUCCUCAGCUUCAGGAAAACGGCGUUACGGCAAUUCUCAAUCUGUCUCUUUGCGAUGAGAAUAAGGAGCUCAUCGCUGCAUCAGGAGCGAUUAAACCUCUAGUACGAGCGCUUAAAGUUGGAACCUCAACAGCCAGAG